Molecule: non-coding RNA, 233 nt
Organism: Pelobates cultripes (western spadefoot toad)
Lineage: Eukaryota; Metazoa; Chordata; Amphibia; Anura; Pelobatidae
Source: the annotation of a GenBank genome assembly
GUGUGAGGGUGGAAUUGUGUGUGUGUAGGUAGGGUGUGUGUGUGAGGGUGACCAUGUGUUUGAGGGGGCAGUGUGUGUGUGAGGGGGCAGUGUGUGUCUGAGGUUCAGUGUGUGUCAGAGGUGCAGUGUGGCAGUGUGUGUGAAGCGGCGCAGUGUGUGUGAGGGAAGGUGGGUGAGAUGUGAAAAUUUAUCUUAAUGUCUCCCUCUCCCUUUUUCUUAGCUUUUACCAGAGG